CCCCGGCGCCACGAGUGGUCAUCGCGAUUAUUGGGCCUAAAGCGUUCGUAGCCGGUCUAGUGCAUCUCUUGUGAAAUUGUUCGGCUUAACCGGACAGCGUGCAGGAGACACGGCUAGACUCGAGACCGGGAGGCGUGCGAAGUAUGUCGUGGGGACUGGUAAAAUGGGAUAAUCCACGAUAGACUACCGAUGGCGAAGGCAUCGCACGAGAACGGAUCUGACGGUGAGGAACGAAAGCCAGGGGAGCGAACCGG
Molecule: ribosomal RNA, 254 nt
Filed under: uncultured bacterium
Lineage: Bacteria
Description: partial 16S ribosomal RNA
Rfam family: Archaeal small subunit ribosomal RNA
Source: RNAcentral